UGCAGUCGACGCUUCUUUUUCCACCGGAGCUUGCUCCACCGGAAAAAGAGGAGUGGCGAACGGGUGAGUAACACGUGGGUAACCUGCCCAUCAGAAGGGGAUAACACUUGGAAACAGGUGCUAAUACCGUAUAACAAUCGAAACCGCAUGGUUUUGAUUUGAAAGGCGCUUUCGGGUGUCGCUGAUGGAUGGACCCGCGGUGCAUUAGCUAGUUGGUGAGGUAACGGCUCACCAAGGCCACGAUGCAUAGCCGACCUGAGAGGGUGAUCGGCCACAUUGGGACUGAGACACGGCCCAAACUCCUACGGGAGGCAGCAGUAGGGAAUCUUCGGCAAUGGACGAAAGUCUGACCGAGCAACGCCGCGUGAGUGAAGAAGGUUUUCGGAUCGUAAAACUCUGUUGUUAGAGAAGAACAAGGAUGAGAGUAACUGUUCAUCCCUUGACGGUAUCUAACCAGAAAGCCACGGCUAACUACGUGCCAGCAGCCGCGGUAAUACGUAGGUGGCAAGCGUUGUCCGGAUUUAUUGGGCGUAAAGCGAGCGCAGGCGGUUUCUUAAGUCUGAUGUGAAAGCCCCCGGCUCAACCGGGGAGGGUCAUUGGAAACUGGGAGACUUGAGUGCAGAAGAGGAGAGUGGAAUUCCAUGUGUAGCGGUGAAAUGCGUAGAUAUAUGGAGGAACACCAGUGGCGAAGGCGGCUCUCUGGUCUGUAACUGACGCUGAGGCUCGAAAGCGUGGGGAGCACACAGGAUUAGAUACCCUGGUAGUCCACGCCGUAGACGAUGAGUGCUAAGUGUUGGAGGGUUUCCGCCCUUCAGUGCUGCAGCUAACGCAUUAAGCACUCCGCCUGGGGAGUACGACCGCAAGGUUGAAACUCAAAGGAAUUGACGGGGGCCCGCACAAGCGGUGGAGCAUGUGGUUUAAUUCCAACCAACGCGAACAACCUUACCAGGUCUUGACAUCCUUUGACCACUCUAGAGAUAGAGCUUCCCCUUCGGGGGCAAAGUGACAAGUGGUGCAUGGUUGUCAUCAACUCUUGUCGUGAGAUGUUUGUGUUAAGUCCCGCAACCAGCCCAACCCUUAUUGUUAAUUGCCAUCAUUCAGUUGGACACUCCUGGAGAACUGCCCGUGAGAGACCGGAGAGAGGUGGCGAAGGAGGGGGAGGGAAACACCC
This 1171-nucleotide ribosomal RNA is filed under the name Enterococcus faecium. RNAcentral describes it as "bacterial SSU rRNA". It matches the Rfam family "Bacterial small subunit ribosomal RNA", at positions 56 to 1200 of the family's 1533-position model. The record is from RNAcentral. Lineage: Bacteria; Bacillati; Bacillota; Bacilli; Lactobacillales; Enterococcaceae.